RNAcentral lists this long non-coding RNA (546 nucleotides) under Olea europaea (common olive). Its description in RNAcentral is "long non-coding RNA (OEUR_LNC008719)". The record is from RNAcentral. Lineage: Eukaryota; Viridiplantae; Streptophyta; Magnoliopsida; Lamiales; Oleaceae.
GUUUACUUCCGGUACCAUAUUACAUCAUGUCUCAUACAUGUUUUUAUACAAUACCAUACGAAAACAUAUGGAAAGCAGUCGGACAAAACAUGCAAAAACAAAACUUCGAUGCAAAACAACCUUGUCCCUAACCCAUCAUCGAUUAUGCCGACUGACUUCCACCAACUCCGCAAUUAUGAAUCUGAGAAUUUAGUAUAGAACACUAUGAGUAUAAAGAAUACUCAGUAAGAUACCAUGCUUGAAUUUUAACAUGUUAAUACAACACAAAAGAAUGCAAUCAAACACAUACUUGUACAUUCCGGCUUGCCGGUGCCCUUCGGACUUGUCCUAAGGCAUAGAUAUCUAACUUUGUGGACUUGUCCACCACAUUCAUAUUAUGGUUUUUCAUGCAUAGUUUAAGCAUAAAUAUUACCAUGAAAUCAUACCACUUAAGCAUAGAAAGUAUCUUACAAUAAAACUUGAUGAAAUCUUGGUUGAAAAUGAAUUGAGAAAUGCUAGGCUGGUCCUCUUCUUUCCUCACAUUUUCUACCCUCUUAUAAACAAGUG